Molecule: long non-coding RNA, 580 nt
Filed under: Junco hyemalis (dark-eyed junco)
Lineage: Eukaryota; Metazoa; Chordata; Aves; Passeriformes; Passerellidae
Description: lncRNA (ENSJHYG00000006159.1)
Source: RNAcentral
UGACAAGCAGCUCAAGCACUGAAGUGGGGAAACUCUCCCAGCUUCUCCCAAGGACCUGGGAAGACACACCGAAUUUGCUGCAAUAGAAAAGCUGUUGGCCAAAGUACAAGCCUGAAGAAAAUAACACACCUUGCCAGUGGACAAGGAGGAUGGUGGGAGUAAAGGCCUUAUGAAGAUUCAGCUGAAAGACUCUGGAUGCUAGAGGCUGAUACCAUGUGGCAGGAGCCAGGAGCCAGUGUAGCUGCGAGGAAAGGGACCCACAGAGACUGCGCCAGCUUAUCUCACCUGUGCAGAGGUAAUCAUGAAGGGGAAAAUAAUGAGAAGACAUUUAAGAAGCACAACAGGAGAGUGCAGGGAAUACCUCAGCUAAGAUUUUCAUCCUGAGAUUUGGCGUAUCUCUUUCCAGCCAUCACUACAAACAGGAGAGAGUGGGAACCAUGAAAACUGGUUUGCGAAAUAGUUGACUUUCUAAAGUAUUACAUAUUCAGUGGAUUUAACUUUAAACAAAGACCCACAAUAUUUUUACUUAUCUGGCUUCUGCUACUCAUAACUAAAAAUAAAGAAAUGCAUAAAGCAGCCA